This 68-nucleotide transfer RNA is filed under the name Marmota monax (woodchuck). Its description in RNAcentral is "tRNA.Ala". The record is from RNAcentral. Lineage: Eukaryota; Metazoa; Chordata; Mammalia; Rodentia; Sciuridae.
GUGGUGGCUCAGUGGUAGAGUGUUCACCUAGCAUGCGUGGGGCACUGGUUUCGAUCCUUGGCACCACA